GGGGGAAUAUUGGGGCAAUGGGGGGAAACCCUGACCCAGCAACGCCGCGUGAAGGAAGAAGGCUUUCGGGUUGUAAACUUCUUUUACCAGGGACGAAGGACGUGACGGUACCUGGAGAAAAAGCCACGGCUAACUACGUGCCAGCAGCCGCGGUAAUACGUAGGUGGCAAGCGUUGUCCGGGUUCAUUGGGUUUAAAGGGUGCGUAGGCGGCUUUGCAAGUCAGCGGUGAAAGGCCCGGGCUCAACCCGGAAAGUGCCGUUGAUACUGUGAGGCUGGAAUGCGGAUGCUGUGGGAGGAAUGAGUGGUGUAGCGGUGAAAUGCAUAGAUAUCACUCAGAACACCGAUUGCGAAGGCAUCUCACAAAUCCGCAAUUGACGCUGAGGCACGAAAGCGUGGGGAUCGAACAGGAUUAGAUACCCUGGUAGU
RNAcentral lists this ribosomal RNA (427 nucleotides) under uncultured Oscillospiraceae bacterium. RNAcentral describes it as "bacterial SSU rRNA". It matches the Rfam family "Bacterial small subunit ribosomal RNA", at positions 355 to 794 of the family's 1533-position model. Lineage: Bacteria; Bacillati; Bacillota; Clostridia; Eubacteriales; Oscillospiraceae. The record is from RNAcentral.